GUUUCGAGUGAAGAAAUGAAAUAGAUUCAUAGAAAGAUAUUUGGGGAUUUCUCAUCCAGAAGGGUUUAGAAUAACAGCCAGUCAUCCAACAAUAUGUCUAGCCAGAAUUGGAACUCAAAAAAUCAAAAUGCAAGAAUGAUACAAGUGAAUGUGACGUUUGAAGAGAUAAGCAUUGCCUACCAGUUGAACGAAGAGAAACUUUUUCCUAUCAUAUUCAAUUAUGCAAUAUCAAAGUAUAAAAUCAUUCUGAAGGUUGCACUCUUAAAUAAUUUGAUUGAAUGGUGAUUUGUAGAGUUGCCAUGGUAACAAUCAGUACACAAUAUUAUAAACCUUGA
This is a long non-coding RNA of Actinia tenebrosa (Australian red waratah sea anemone), 335 nucleotides long. The record is from RefSeq and is a predicted model, not a curated record. Lineage: Eukaryota; Metazoa; Cnidaria; Anthozoa; Actiniaria; Actiniidae.